Leopardus geoffroyi (Geoffroy's cat) is the source of this 1566-nucleotide long non-coding RNA. RefSeq lists it as uncharacterized. The record is from RefSeq and is a predicted model, not a curated record. Lineage: Eukaryota; Metazoa; Chordata; Mammalia; Carnivora; Felidae. The transcript is spliced from 2 exons.
AGCAGAUCCCGAUAUGGGGCUCAAACACAGGAAAUGUGAGAUCAUAACCCGAGCCAAAAGAAAAUGCUAGACGCUUAACUGACUGAGCAACCAAGGCGCCCCUUGCAGUGCAUAUUUUCAGUACUGAGAGAAGUAAAUUGGGCAUUUAGACACACGUGUCACAAGUUUUGUGUGGGACUUCCCACCUGAUGUGUUCUGCGUUUUAGUGUGUGUAAUGAUGUAGUGUUAGUGCACAUUAGUGUAUAUGCUAGCAUGUGUACUUAAGUCUGCUGUUUUGUGUGCUAAUGUGUCCUGGGUGUGCCAGUGAGCCUACAGCCAGUGCUAGCAUGGAAACCUGUGUAUACUAGCAUGUGUACUUGUGCCUGCUAGUGUGUGUGAUAGUAUGCAUCCUAGGUGUGACAGUGAGUGUACAACUACUGCUUGUGUGUGCUCAGGUGUAUACUAGCAUGUGUACUUGCAUAUGAUAGUGUGUGCUCAUAGGUGUACUCGUGUGAACUAAUAUAUGGGAACUAGUAUGUGUACUAGUGUGUGUUAGCGUGUAUGAGAUGUGCUAAUGUAUGCUAGUAUGUACUAGUGUGUAUUCUAGUCGAUGCCAGUGUGUUCACUAGUGUGCACUAGUACUAGCAUAUGUGCUAAUGUGUAAUAUGAUUGCAAGUCUGUGUGCUAGCAUUCGUGCUAGGUUGAGUAUAACAUGUGUGCUACUGUGUAUUAAUGUGUAGUAGUAUUUACUGAACAUACUACUAUGUGUACUGACAUACACCAGUUGUAUACUAUUGUGUACUAGUGCAUGUACUAGGUGUGUACUUGUAUUUGUCCUAAUAUGAGUACUAGCUUGUGUGCUUUUGUGUGCUAGUGAGUAGUAGAGUGUGCUAGACAUGCUAAUGUGAUCUAGUGUGUAUAAUGAGUAGUAAAUUACACCAAUGUUUAUACUAGUGUGUGCCAGUUUGUGUGCUAGUGUGUGCUCAUGGACACUCAUUAGAAUAAAGGAGGAUUGCACCACAAAUACCAUCAUGGCAGCAUCCCAGGCGGAUGUCCAGGGCACAUAUGAUGUCAUAGAGGACCAGCCAAUCAGAAUUCCCCCAACCUGGGGGUCUCAGGUGGGCAAUGAUCCUUGGGAGUGAGGACAGAGGUUGAAGCAGGAGACCCUCCACCCCAGGGUUCCCACGGUCACAGGCUCAGGACUCUCCCCACAGCCGGGAUGCUGGCAUAGCUACUUUGGUUCUACCACUUGAAUCCCUCCCUCCUACCUCCCUGCAUGGAUCCUGCCAGCUGAGUUUGCAGUUACCUUCUUCAGGCUUCCAUCAUAUCUCUGCCCUCAACUCAUCUCUGCCUCGACAUUGACAUGCCCAGCAUCACAGCUCUCCUGUGUUUUAUCUCUGGUGCAUAGCUGGUAUUAAAAACUCCAAAUCUUACAGGACUCAGCAAGCCGUGAACAAAAUCCCCUCCUCUGGAGGAGAGCCUGUCAGCACUACACCUGGUGCCCUUCUGUGCUGGAAAAAAAUAGCAUCCCCGAACAAGGGCCUGUAGUUUAUGGUGAACCACAGAGAAAUCUGUGACCAGGUUAUG